GACGAACGCUGGCGGCAUGCCUAACACAUGCAAGUCGAACGAGACCUUCGGGUCUAGGGGCGCACGGGUACGUAACGCGGGGUAACCUGCCCUUAGGUUCGGAAUAACUCCCCGAAAGGGGUGCUAAUACCGGAUAAUGUCUUCGGACCAAAGAUUUAUCGCCUUUGGCUGGGCCCGCGUUGGAUUAGCUAGUUGGUAGGGUAAAAGCCUACCAAGGCGACGAUCCUUAGCUGGUCUGAGAGGAUGAUCAGCCACACUUGGACUGAGACACGGCCCAGACUGGUACGGAAGGGAGCAGUGGGGAACACUGGACGCUGGGCGCAAGUGUGAUCAAGCCAUGUCGCGUGAGUGAUGAAGGCGUUAGGGUUGUAAAGCUCUUUUACCCGGGAUGAUAAUGACAGUACCGGGAGAAUAAGCUCCGGCUAACUACGUG
Molecule: ribosomal RNA, 433 nt
Filed under: uncultured bacterium
Lineage: Bacteria
Description: partial 16S ribosomal RNA
Rfam family: Bacterial small subunit ribosomal RNA
Source: RNAcentral